CACGUAGGGGGCAAGCGUUGUCCGGAUUUAUUGGGCGUAAAGAGCUCGUAGGCUGUUCGAUAAGUCGGGUGUGAAACCUCCAGGCUCAACCUGGAGACGCCACCCGAUACUGUCAUGACUAGAGUCCGGUAGGGGAGCGUGGAAUUCCUGGUGUAGCGGUGAAAUGCGCAGAUAUCAGGAGGAACACCAGCGGCGAAGGCGGGUUGCUGGGCUGACACUGACGCUGAUUGUGCGAAAGCUAGGGGAGCGAACGGG
Molecule: ribosomal RNA, 255 nt
Filed under: uncultured bacterium
Lineage: Bacteria
Description: partial 16S ribosomal RNA
Rfam family: Bacterial small subunit ribosomal RNA
Source: RNAcentral